Molecule: long non-coding RNA, 551 nt
Organism: Oncorhynchus tshawytscha (Chinook salmon)
Lineage: Eukaryota; Metazoa; Chordata; Actinopteri; Salmoniformes; Salmonidae
Source: Ensembl
AGAGUAGAGGAUGGUAGAGUAGAGGAGAAGAUGGUAGAGUAGAGGAGAGGAUGGUAGAGUAGAGGAUGGUAGAGUAGAGGAGAGGAUGGUAGAGUAGAGGAUGGUAGAGGAGAGUAGAGGAUGGUAGAGUAGAGUAGAGGAUGGUAGAGUAGAGGAGAAGAUGGUAGAGUAGAGGAGAGGAUGGUAGAGUAGAGUAGAGAAGGGCAGUAUCCUAAAGAACUCAAGAGAAGAGGACAGAGCUGUGCUUUUUAAAGUGAAGUAUUGAAAUAGAAAACUAUAUAAUCAUAUUGUUAUGAAAAUGCAUUAUGUGAAAUUAAUCAAACACUCUGCAUACGGUGGAAUAUCCUGUUGCUUUUUAAGCUACUAGAUGUGUAACAUCAUAAUAGGUCAUCUUUCCUCAGGAGAAACCAAAACGUUCCUGAAAGUAAUGAGAGGUAGAUUUGAGAUGACUACAGGUAAAAGAAACCAAAACGUUCCUGAAAGUAAUGAGAGGUAGAUUUGAGAUGACUACAGGUAAAAGAAACCAAAACGUUCCUGAAAGUAAUGAGAGG